This is a long non-coding RNA of Peromyscus californicus insignis, 4091 nucleotides long. RefSeq lists it as uncharacterized. NCBI's taxonomy places the organism in Eukaryota, Metazoa, Chordata, Mammalia, Rodentia, Cricetidae. The record is from RefSeq and is a predicted model, not a curated record. The transcript has 2 exons.
GUGGGAGAAAAAACGGCGGGGUGAGACAUCACAGAAGAUGCUUCGGUGGAGGACCGGGAUCCUGUUAGUGGCCUCACGCUGCCGGCCCCCAAACUUAACUAUGCAAACCACAGUCCGGAAACUGAAACUGGAUACAGGAUGCUUAGGUUUAGUGAUUCCCAGAGCACUCAGUUUCCCUUCUAAAAGAUUCAGAUUGGGCGCCAAGAUAGACAAGAAAAUAAAAAUCACCUGAAGCACAACCAUUCGUGCUUUUCUUCAACAAGUCAAGUAAAACCAUCGUGAGGACACCCUCAGUACCCCACAUGUACAGAGGUAACAGAAGUCUUCCUGUUUCCUGAGAGUUCUGAGUGUGGCGAUAUUUUAUUUGUGCACCGCAAUAAAGCUUAUCUGAGGAUCAGAGGAAAAAGCCAACCACUAUAUUAAACCAAAAGGUCAGGCAGGGGUAGCACACGCCUUUAAUCCUAGCACUCAGGAGGCAGAGAUUCAUCGGGAUCUCUGUGAGUUCAAGGCCACACUGGGAACAGAGAUAGGUGUGGUGGCACGUGCCUUUAAUUCCUAGCACUAGUUAACCAUAGAGGUCUGGAAGUCUGUACAGACAGACAGGAAGUAACAGAGUUGGGCGGAAAGAGGAAGUGAGAUGGCAGGGCACAGAAAGGUAUAUAAGGCAUGAGUAUACGGGAAGUAGCUCUCUCUUUGGCUGGGGAUUUCCUAGCGAUAAGAACGUGGCUGGCUUCUUUCUGCUUCUCUGAUCUCUCCGUUUUCACCCCAAUAUCUGGCUUCGGGUUUUUUUUAUUAAUAAGACCAUUUAGCAAUUUGUCUUACAUCUGAGUUUUUUUAAAUGGGGAGCUAUGUCUCAUUUCCACUCAAAGUAUCACUUUAUUUCUGACCACAUCCUGUGGGUAGUUCUGCCAGGCACCUUGCAAACACGCUCCUUGGGUCACCAGGGAGCAAGCUGCUGAAGAACAGCAACUACCUUUGAAACAAGGAGUCUUUUCUGUGGCAUAAGGAAGACUUUCCCCCCCGUGCUGAACAGUAGGAAUCAGAUUGUGAUUUUUCUUCUAUUUUGGCCACGGUGAGGAUUGAACCCACAGCCUCACACGUGAUAAACAUGCUCUCUGAACUGCUUCCCCCAUGUGAAGCCUCACAACACAGAUAACCACUUCAGGAAAAAAGGGACAAGCAGAUGAGAACCAUCUUAAAUAGCACACUAUGAAAGAGCAAUAUCUUAGGGUUUUUAAUAUCAGGAAAACAUUCUGACAGCUUAAUAUUAGGCAUUUCUUUAUGCUCCUGGAAUGCUUUUAUAUGUUCUUGGAAAAUUUUCCAGAAGAGAGACUGAAUCACACAUUCCAUAUGUAUUCAUAAUCAGCCAUGGAAGCAUGUCUUUUUCUUGAUGAUGAUGAAGUCUUCCCUGUGCAUGCGUAGGCAGAUAGCUGCAAAAGAAGGACACUCAGACUACCUGAGGGCACAUGCUUUAGUCUCCCUACCACAGGAGAACACUGUGUUAUUUUAAAAAUCACAUUUCUCUGUUCUUUAUUAUCACAUCACAUUCCACUUCUUUUUAUUUUUAUCAAAGUGUCUUCCUGUAUUUCAUCUGCUGCCUAAUAUGGAUAUCUCUGGUUCUUUUCCCACAGACAAUGCUUGGGUAUGGCAUCUUCCUCUACUCUUUUGAUAGCUAGAGCCCUCCUGCUUCCUUCACUUUGAGUGACUGAAAUUGCCGGGAGUCUGUUUCUUUCUUGGGGUGGGAUGGAUACAUGGGGUGUUUCUGCAGUUUCUACUGUGUGAUAAAAAUCCUGGGAAAAGAUUGUAACUUGCAGAAGUAAAUUACCGAUGUAGGGAAGGAGAAGGGGAUGACAUAUCCGGAUAGUUCAGCCUGAUGCACAUGGGGCUGUGUAGACAAAGUGAGUUACUUACGUGUUGUGAAGGAGAGGAGAAAGAAGACAGAAUCAGUUUCCAUUCGAAUGUUUAAUACAAAUCUGACCCUCCUCACAAAAAUGCUAGAAAUUUGAGGUGACCUACUUAUCUCCCGUAACCUCUAUAGUUUGGAUCUGGAGCAUGCCCCAAAGUCCCGUGUGUCAAGUGCAUAGUUCUCAGCUUGGGAGGUGACAGAAAUUUUGAGAAGCAUAACCUAGUGGAGGGGAGUUUGGGCGGACACUCAUGGGUGAUGUUGGGGAUGCUGGUUUCUUCCACUGCCUUUUUUUCUUUCUUUUUGCUUCUUGCCAACCAUGAUGUGAACAAUCUUCUCUGCCACACACUCCCACUAUGGUGCAAUGUACUAUCAUAGCAUCAGUGUUAUCUACAGAAACAUGGCCAAGUGACUAUGGGUCAAAACUUCUGAACCUAUGAACCCAAAUAAACCAGUCCCGAUGCUUGGGGGUUCAAUUAUAGCAGUGAUUUAACUGCAGUUCAUACAAAUCAUACUGAGAGCAUAUGUAAAAUGCAGAGUCCCAGGUACGUGCCUCCAUUUUUAUCACUCUGAGAUUCUGAAGUAUCACGUAAGGCCAGACAUCUUAUAAUCUCUGAAAAGGACCUGCAGAUAUUCUGCUGCAGGUGAUAUGUCAAGCCUGCACUGUGAGCAUUUCAUCAGUCACAUCAGAUCUAAAGUGAGAUGAAGUGAUGGUAAAUCACAUUGACCAAAGCAUUUAGAAUAUUCUUUCCCUCAGCUUAAAAUUAUUUCUUCAUUAGAAAUAGGUAGUUGGUUCUUUGGUUUCUUUUUUAAAUAUUAUUUAUCUAUUUGAGACAAGAUCUCACUACGUAACGUUGGCUGACCUGGAACACCCGAUUUAGGGUUAUUUGAGUUUUUGACGAUCUCCAUGUGAGAAAUAUUUAUGGCCAAGCUUAGACACUUUAGCUGAUUAUUUAAAUAUGAUUAUCAAGAAAACAAGCGCUAGCAAAGAGGUGAAGGAAUGGAACCUUUACAUAUUGCUGAUGAAAGGCCCAAGGCCAAGCCAGUCUUUUCCAAUCUAUAUAGCCUGAAGGCAAUGUGUGUUGUGGACCUCCCACCCAAUGAGGAAGAAACGAAAAGAGAGGAGGGACUUUCAAAAUAGGCUCUGCCUAUUGAUCGUGCUGGCUGGAAUUUUCCCACUCCUAUUAAUCCCUGUUUUUCUUGAGUCAUUUUAUCUAGGGACAUUGGAAGUACCGAAUUGUUAUGUAACCACAGAUUGACAGUGCCGGUGCCAACACGUCCAUCAGUCCAAAGCCAGGCAGAUUACAGAAUACCGUGCAUCAAAUGCAGCUUAGAAGAAGCAAAAGGGGAAGGGAGGAUGCCGAAAGCUGCAGGAAAAUGUAAUGGAAUUCAGCUACUAUCACAAAAGCUACUACUUGGAAAGGUCAAGGAUAUUUCCGAAGGUCAAGCUAUGGCUUAAGAAGUCUUGGUGAUAUUUUAGCUUUUGUAUAUAUAUUAGCUGACUCCUGCAAUGAUUUCCUUGUAUGCUAUAUAUGCUUCCAAGAACUCAUAACAGUGUAUUUUACCUGAAAUACGUAUCAAGCAUCCAAGGCCAAACGACCUCCUGCAUUAAGGUAUAUUAAGCUCAGAUCCUCCUUUCUUAUACAGCUUUAGUAGUAUUUAUACUAACAUUGUAGACUCCUAACAUUUACCGAACCACCUCUAGGAAUGUAGUUUGAGCACAUAAAUUCCCUUUUUCUGAUAUAUUAACCCAUUUUAGCUUUUAAUUGACCUCCUCCUUUACCACUCCCCUUUUGGGUUGUAAAAGAAAGCCUGACAGUCACUGCCUGAGGAAAACUCUUGUCUGUCUUUAUGACCCUGUCAGAAUUCAAGCCUGGUGACCUUGCUUUAGCUACAGCACUUGCUAUUGCAUGGGUAUAUAACUGUAAACCCCAGAGACUGAGGAGGAUUCUGACUGGAGAACUAGAUGGAGAACUAGAAGAAUGAGAUGGAAGAUGAGGAAGAGCCAGAUGGGUAAGAACGAGAUGAGAAAGACCAAGAUGGGCAGAACUAAGAUGAGAGAAUUAAGAUAGAACUUAGAAGGGACAGCAGUUAAAUGUAGAGAGAAGUCAGGAGCUAGGCAUGAGAACAGAACUGAAGCUGUGUAGAUAGGAUUUUAUCCCAGAGGAAUAAAGAAGACGGACUAAGA